CCCGCUCAGAAACUUAAAAGAAUUAGACGGGGUACCCGCACAAGCAGCGGAGCAUGUGGUUUAAUUCGAAGCAACGCGAAGAACCUUACCAGAUCUUGACAUCCAAUUGACCAUCUUUUAAUCGAGAUUUUGCCUUCGGGUACAAUUGAGACAGGUGGUGCAUGGUUGUCGUCAGCUCGUGUCGUGAGAUGUUGGGUUAAGUCCCGCAACGAGCGCAACCCUUGUGUUUAGUUGCAAACAGGUCAAGCUGUGCACUCUAGACAGACUGCCGUGGACAACACGGAGGAAGGUGGGGAUGACGUCAAAUCAUCAUGCCCCUUAUGAUCUGGGCUACACACGUGCUACAAUGGCCGGUACAACGGGCAGCGAAGGAGCGAUCCGGAGCGAAUCCUAAAAAGCCGGUCCCAGUUCGGAUUGCAGGCUGAAACUCGCCUACAUGAAGUUGGAGUUGCUAGUAAUCGCGAAUCAGAAUGUCGCGGUGAAUGCGUUCCCGGGUCUU
RNAcentral lists this ribosomal RNA (499 nucleotides) under uncultured Fusibacter sp. RNAcentral describes it as "bacterial SSU rRNA". It matches the Rfam family "Bacterial small subunit ribosomal RNA", at positions 903 to 1382 of the family's 1533-position model. The record is from RNAcentral. Lineage: Bacteria; Bacillati; Bacillota; Clostridia; Eubacteriales; Fusibacteraceae.